CACCACACAGAGUAACACAAGCGUGCUGGGCUUAUCCGACUUUGAAAUGCAAAGGAUCCACGUUGCUGCAGCAGUUUCCUUCUUGGGAGGUGUGAUUCAGAUUUAUGCAUAUGUUUUUGAAAACAUCAAGUCUGUGCGACUGGAAGCAUUGCUUUUAUCCUUGCUGAGCAUUGUGGUCCUUGUUCUUGUUAAAGAGCUGAAUGAACAGUUUAAAAGGAAAAUUAAAGUUGUUCUUCCUGUAGAUUUAGUUUUGAUUAUUGCUGCAUCAUUUGCUUGUUAUUGCACCAAUAUGGAAAACACAUAUGGAUUAGAAGUAGUUGGUCAUAUUCCAC
This 332-nucleotide long non-coding RNA is filed under the name Homo sapiens (human). RNAcentral's name for it is "HSALNT0140242". The record is from RNAcentral. Lineage: Eukaryota; Metazoa; Chordata; Mammalia; Primates; Hominidae.